This 497-nucleotide ribosomal RNA is filed under the name uncultured bacterium. RNAcentral's name for it is "partial 16S ribosomal RNA". It matches the Rfam family "Bacterial small subunit ribosomal RNA", at positions 28 to 507 of the family's 1533-position model. The record is from RNAcentral.
GAUGAACGCUGGCGGCGUGCCUAAUACAUGCAAGUCGAGCGAACAGACGAGGAGCUUGCUCCUCUGACGUUAGCGGCGGACGGGUGAGUAACACGUGGAUAACCUACCUAUAAGACUGGGAUAACUUCGGGAAACCGGAGCUAAUACCAGAUAAUAUAUUGAACCGCAUGGUUCAAUAGUGAAAGACGGUUUUGCUGUCACUUAUAGAUGGAUCCGCGCCGCAUUAGCUAGUUGGUAAGGUAACGGCUUACCAAGGCAACGAUGCGUAGCCGACCUGAGAGGGUGAUCGGCCACACUGGAACUGAGACACGGUCCAGACUCCUACGGGAGGCAGCAGUAGGGAAUCUUCCGCAAUGGGCGAAAGCCUGACGGAGCAACGCCGCGUGAGUGAUGAAGGUCUUCGGAUCGUAAAACUCUGUUAUUAGGGAAGAACAAAUGUGUAAGUAACUAUGCACGUCCUGACGGUACCUAAUCAGAAAGCCACGGCUAACUACGUG